Long non-coding RNA from Cavia porcellus (domestic guinea pig), 2100 nucleotides. Lineage: Eukaryota; Metazoa; Chordata; Mammalia; Rodentia; Caviidae. The record is from Ensembl.
AUGGACUUUCUUCCUUUGGAGGUGGAGGAAAGAGACAAGCCUCAGGUUGAGUCUUUCAUAAUUCUAGCUCAGCCAACUGCAGUAAAGAAGACACAGUUCUUGCAAAGUGAGGCCCAUGACAGUCAUCCCCUCCCUCUCCACACUUCUCAUCCUGGUCUCUCACAGCUGGGCUUGCUGAUUUCGUUCUGCAAGGUGUCUCCUUGCUGAGCAGAUCAAGUCUGAAGAGUUGGGGGUCUUUUAAAAGUUGGACCCUGGAGGCAGUGUCCCAGCAGUGAUCCUGGUUAUACAACUUACCCCCAGGUAACUAGUACCACCUUUACCACAUAAAGGACACUCAAUAAAUAACAAUUAUAACCAUUUCCCACACCCUGUUUUUACUCACCCACACAGUUCAGUUAAAAGAACAUGGCUUCUACUUGGACCUUCUGAGUUCCUGUUACUAUUCUUCAGUGUCUCAUCUGGGAGGACUGAGAUCCUGUCUUGCCCUGAAUUCGAAACUUGGGUCUUUCCUAGAUGUCUCCAAUCCAUCUAUUAUGGGCAGAUAAGUUAGACAGAAGUUAAUAUACCAUUAGAGAGAGAGUGGACUCUCAAGAAAGUCAGUAAAAACUAAAGACAUCAGAAUUCUGGCUGGAGGUGCAUCUGAAGAAGACCAGGCAACUGAAGUACAAAAACAACUAAAUGCUUGUAUUGUUUGAUUGAUUUUGCAGGCCUAAGGCCAGUAGUCUGAGCAUUUAUUAAGAGGAUAACAACAUGUAGUAUAGCAAAUAUGAGGGGUUUCCUGCUGUCUUGUUUCUGAAAUCCAAUAUUGUUCUCACAAUUUGAUUUUGUUCUGUUCUAUUAUUUUAUUUUAUUCAACAUUCUGUUUUGAUUGUUUUUUUUCUGUUCUGUUUUGUUUGAUUUUAUUAUGUCUGAUGGUAAGGGCUGCAAUUCUGAAGAUAACAAGAGGCAUUAUGGUAGCCAUUGUUGAUUUCCUAUUAUCCUAUUUUGAAAUCUUGUAUCACUUUUACUAUUUUGUUUUGAUUGGCUUUGUUCUGUUCUAUCUCCGUUGGUUUUAUUCUCUUUAAAAUAUACUUUAAUUCUUUUGCUUUGAUUGCUUUUAUUCUGUUUUGUUUGAUUUUAUUAUGUCUGAUGGUAUGGACAAUUAUUUUGAAGAAAAUAAGAAACAUUAUGGUAGUCAUUGUUGGUUUCCUAUUAUCUUGUUUUGUAGCCUUGUAUCAGUUUCAUUGUUCUGUUCUGAUUAGCUUUAUUCUGUUUUGUUUGGUUUGGUUUUAUUCUCUUUAAAAUAAAAAAAGAAGAAAAGAAAGAGGUGCAGCAGUGUCAUCCUUUGACUUUGUACCUUUAAGACUGUCUCAACAGACAGAUUAGGCUAGAUUAGAAGCUAAUAAAUAGCUUUCUGCUGUUCAUUUUGAGAUACUUGCUCUGGAAGCCUUUGAAGUGUAGCUAUCUUAAGGAGAGAGAGAAAGAGAGAGAGAGAGAGAGAGAGAGAGAGAGAGAGAGAGAGCGAGAGACCGUAAUCAUGAGAUCCCAAAACAGAACUAGCCUAUCCUUUCCUGAGUUCCUGACCCACAAAAACUAUGAAAUAUAAUACAUAGUAAGUGGUGGUUGUUUUAGGCCAUAAGGUCUUGGAGGUUACUUACUAUAUAGCACUGAUUAUUGGAAUAUGGUGUUUGCUGAGAUAGAAAACAGGCUAUCCCUAAAAUGUAGCACAUUAGCAUACUGAAUAUUUUAAGCAGAAGGAAAUUGAGAGCAGAAAAUUCAUUACCUGAGCUUUUUCUGGCUAUCUCCAUUGAAUCAUAACCAUACAAGCAUUUUCUGACCUACCUCUCCUAUGAGUAUGUCAUAAAAUCCUUAUUUCAGAGGAGUCAUAUCUACAGGUCGAAGAAAGUGAGCAUACUGGCCCUGUUAAGCCUCUCAAUGUCUUGUUCCACCUUAAUUUAUUACCAUUAGAACAUACCUUUCUGUCCUCCUGUCAAACUUUUGGGUGCCUGUCCAUAAAGGAACAAUUUCCCCUGGAUCUUUGGGUUUUCAUUUCUCAACUCUCCUGUGUCAUAUAAAGUUUAUGUUAAAUACAUUUAUAUGCUCCUCUCGUGUUAACUCACU